This 501-nucleotide ribosomal RNA is filed under the name uncultured bacterium. RNAcentral's name for it is "partial 16S ribosomal RNA". It matches the Rfam family "Bacterial small subunit ribosomal RNA", at positions 30 to 523 of the family's 1533-position model. The record is from RNAcentral.
AUUGAACGCUGGCGGCAUGCCUUACACAUGCAAGUCGAACGGCAGCACGGGUGCUUGCACCUGGUGGCGAGUGGCGAACGGGUGAGUAAUACAUCGGAACGUACCUUAUCGUGGUGGAUAACGCAGCGAAAGCUGUGCUAAUACCGCAUACGCCCUGAGGGGGAAAGCGGGGGAUCGAAAGACCUCGCGCGAUUAGAGCGGCCGAUGCCUGAUUAGCUUGUUGGUGGGGUAAAAGCCCACCAAGGCGACGAUCAGUAGCUGGUCUGAGAGGACGAUCAGCCACACUGGGACUGAGACACGGCCCAGACUCCUACGGGAGGAAGCAGUGGGGAAUUUUGGACAAUGGGGGCAACCCUGAUCCAGCAAUGCCGCGUGAGUGAAGAAGGCCUUCGGGUUGUAAAGCUCUUUUGUCAGGGAAGAAACACCGGCUCUAACACAGUCCGGGAAUGACGGUACCUGAAGAAUAAGCACCGGCUAACUACGUGCCAGCAGCCGCCGUAA